CACGCUGUAAACGAUGAAAACUAAGUAUUGCCGCGAGGCAGUGCUGUAGCUAACGCAUUAAGUUUUCCGCCUGGGGAGUACGCUCGCAAGAGUGAAACUUAAAGGAAUUGACGGGGGCCCGCACAAGCGGUGGAGCAUGUGGUUUAAUUCGAAGCAACGCGAAGAACCUUACCAGGUCUUGACAUCCCGUUGACCACUGUAGAGAUAUAGUUUCCCCUUCGGGGGCAACGGUGACAGGUGG
RNAcentral lists this ribosomal RNA (241 nucleotides) under uncultured bacterium. RNAcentral's name for it is "partial 16S ribosomal RNA". It matches the Rfam family "Bacterial small subunit ribosomal RNA", at positions 796 to 1041 of the family's 1533-position model. The record is from RNAcentral.